Molecule: ribosomal RNA, 1554 nt
Filed under: Escherichia coli
Lineage: Bacteria; Pseudomonadati; Pseudomonadota; Gammaproteobacteria; Enterobacterales; Enterobacteriaceae
Description: bacterial SSU rRNA
Rfam family: Bacterial small subunit ribosomal RNA
Source: RNAcentral
AAAUUGAAGAGUUUGAUCAUGGCUCAGAUUGAACGCUGGCGGCAGGCCUAACACAUGCAAGUCGAACGGUAACAGGAAACAGCUUGCUGUUUCGCUGACGAGUGGCGGACGGGUGAGUAAUGUCUGGGAAACUGCCUGAUGGAGGGGGAUAACUACUGGAAACGGUAGCUAAUACCGCAUAACGUCGCAAGACCAAAGAGGGGGACCUUCGGGCCUCUUGCCAUCGGAUGUGCCCAGAUGGGAUUAGCUAGUAGGUGGGGUAACGGCUCACCUAGGCGACGAUCCCUAGCUGGUCUGAGAGGAUGACCAGCCACACUGGAACUGAGACACGGUCCAGACUCCUACGGGAGGCAGCAGUGGGGAAUAUUGCACAAUGGGCGCAAGCCUGAUGCAGCCAUGCCGCGUGUAUGAAGAAGGCCUUCGGGUUGUAAAGUACUUUCAGCGGGGAGGAAGGGAGUAAAGUUAAUACCUUUGCUCAUUGACGUUACCCGCAGAAGAAGCACCGGCUAACUCCGUGCCAGCAGCCGCGGUAAUACGGAGGGUGCAAGCGUUAAUCGGAAUUACUGGGCGUAAAGCGCACGCAGGCGGUUUGUUAAGUCAGAUGUGAAAUCCCCGGGCUCAACCUGGGAACUGCAUCUGAUACUGGCAAGCUUGAGUCUCGUAGAGGGGGGUAGAAUUCCAGGUGUAGCGGUGAAAUGCGUAGAGAUCUGGAGGAAUACCGGUGGCGAAGGCGGCCCCCUGGACGAAGACUGACGCUCAGGUGCGAAAGCGUGGGGAGCAAACAGGAUUAGAUACCCUGGUAGUCCACGCCGUAAACGAUGUCGACUUGGAGGUUGUGCCCUUGAGGCGUGGCUUCCGGAGCUAACGCGUUAAGUCGACCGCCUGGGGAGUACGGCCGCAAGGUUAAAACUCAAAUGAAUUGACGGGGGCCCGCACAAGCGGUGGAGCAUGUGGUUUAAUUCGAUGCAACGCGAAGAACCUUACCUGGUCUUGACAUCCACGGAAGUUUUCAGAGAUGGAAUGGUGCCUUCGGGAACCGUGAGACAGGUGCUGCAUGGCUGUCGUCAGCUCGUGUUGUGAAAUGUUGGGUUAAGUCCCGCAACGAGCGCAACCCUUAUCCUUUGUUGCCAGCGGUCCGGCCGGGAACUCAAAGGAGACUGCCAGUGAUAAACUGGAGGAAGGUGGGGAUGACGUCAAGUCAUCAUGGCCCUUACGACCAGGGCUACACACGUGCUACAAUGGCGCAUACAAAGAGAAGCGACCUCGCGAGAGCAAGCGGACCUCAUAAAGUGCGUCGUAGUCCGGAUUGGAGUCUGCAACUCGACUCCAUGAAGUCGGAAUCGCUAGUAAUCGUGGAUCAGAAUGCCACGGUGAAUACGUUCCCGGGCCUUGUACACACCGCCCGUCACACCAUGGGAGUGGGUUGCAAAAGAAGUAGGUAGCUUAACCUUCGGGAGGGCGCUUACCACUUUGUGAUUCAUGACUGGGGUGAAGUCGUAACAAGGUAACCGUAGGGGAACCUGCGGUUGGAUCACCUCCUUACCUUAAAGAAGC